UCCAUUCCCCAUCCUUGAGGAGCUGAAGGCCACUGACCUUGUCAUCCUGGAACAGAAGGAUGACGCCGCCGGCGUCGGUGUGAGACCGGAGACCCUUGAUGAGGUCCGGGGUGGGGCACGGAGGGUAGUUGCUGACCUUAGUGCCAAAGGUAGGACUACCCUGUGAGCCAUAGAAGGCCUUCUUGAGGUACCCUUUCUCCAGUCCAAGAUUCUCGCAGAACAAGUCCAAGAGCUCCUCUGCUAGCUUCUCCAGUUUCAGAGCAAACUCCUUCAU
This 274-nucleotide long non-coding RNA is filed under the name Fragaria vesca (wild strawberry). RNAcentral's name for it is "long non-coding RNA (FVES_LNC003282)". Lineage: Eukaryota; Viridiplantae; Streptophyta; Magnoliopsida; Rosales; Rosaceae. The record is from RNAcentral.